UACGGAGGAUCCAAGCGUUAUCCGGAUUUAUUGGGUUUAAAGGGUGCGUAGGCGGCUUAUUAAGUCAGAGGUGAAAGACGGUGGCUCAACCAUCGCAGUGCCUUUGAUACUGAUGAGCUUGAAUAGACCUGAGGUAGGCGGAAUGUGACAAGUAGCGGUGAAAUGCAUAGAUAUGUCACAGAACACCAAUUGCGAAGGCAGCUUACUAAAGUCUGAUUGACGCUGAGGCACGAAAGCGUGGGGAUCAAACAGG
This 253-nucleotide ribosomal RNA is filed under the name uncultured bacterium. RNAcentral's name for it is "partial 16S ribosomal RNA". It matches the Rfam family "Bacterial small subunit ribosomal RNA", at positions 524 to 776 of the family's 1533-position model. The record is from RNAcentral.